GCGAGCGGGAGAGCUCAAUUUGAAGCUGGCGUCUUCGGCGUCCGCGUUGUAAUCUCGAGACGUGUUUUCCGUGCGGCUCUCGGACGAGUCCCUUGCUUGGAACAGGGCAUCGGAGAGGGUGAAAAUCCCGUACUUGCCAUGGAAGUACCGUGCUUUGUGAUACACGCUCCAAGAGUCGAGUAGUUUGGGAUUGCUGCUCAAAGUGGGUGGUAGACUCCAUCUAAAGCUAAAUAUCGGGGAGAGACCGAUAGCGAACAAGUACCGUGAGGGAAAGAUGAAAAGCACUUUGGAAAGAGAGUUAAAAGUACGUGAAAUUGUCGAAAGGGAAGCACUUGAAGUCAGCCAUGCUGCUUGAGACUCAGCCUGGCUUUUGCUUGGUGUAUUUCUCGGUAGCAAGCCAGCAUUGGUUUGUGUCGUCGGAGAAGCGUAUGGGGAAUGUGGCAUCCUCGGAUGUGUUAUAGCCCUGUGCAGGAUA
Molecule: ribosomal RNA, 475 nt
Filed under: Malassezia restricta
Lineage: Eukaryota; Fungi; Basidiomycota; Malasseziomycetes; Malasseziales; Malasseziaceae
Description: eukaryotic LSU rRNA
Rfam family: Eukaryotic large subunit ribosomal RNA
Source: RNAcentral